GGCUCAGAACGAACGCUGGCGGCGUGCCUAACACAUGCAAGUCGAACGCGAAAGGGGGCAACCCCCGGUAGCGUGGCAGACGGGUGAGUAACGCGUGGGCAACCUGCCCGGAGGUGGGGGAUAACCCUUCGAAAGGAGGGCUAAUACCGCAUGACAUCCCGGGGUCCUCGGACCCUGGGCUCAAAGCUGGCCUCUGUUUACAAGCCAGCGCCACCGGAUGGGCCCGCGUCCCAUUAGCUAGUUGGUGAGGUAACGGCCCACCAAGGCUACGAUGGGUAGCCGGCCUGAGAGGGCGAUCGGCCACACUGGAACUGAGACACGGUCCAGACUCCUACGGGAGGCAGCAGUGAGGAAUCUUGCGCAAUGGGCGAAAGCCUGACGCAGCGACGCCGCGUGGAGGAUGAAGGCCUUCGGGUCGUAAACUCCUGUCGAGCGGGACGAAUGCCGGGAGGGUUAACAGCCUUUCCGGUUGACGGUACCGCUGGAGGAAGCCCCGGCUAACUCCGUGCCAGCAGCCGCGGUAAUACGGAGGGGGCCAGCGUUGUUCGGAAUUAUUGGGCGUAAAGGGCGCGUAGGCGGCUGCUCAAGUCGGACGUGAAAUCCCUCGGCUCAACCGGGGAACUGCGUCCGAUACUGUGCGGCUUGAGUCCCGGAGAGGGUAGUGGAAUUCCCAGUGUAGCGGUGAAAUGCGUAGAUACUGGGAGGAACACCGGUGGCGAAGGCGGCUACCUGGACGGGUACUGACGCUGAUGCGCGAAAGCCAGGGGAGCAAACAGGAUUAGAUACCCUGGUAGUCCUGGCUGUAAACGAUGGGCACUUGGUGUUGCGGGUAUCGACCCCUGCAGUGCCGAAGCUAACGCAUUAAGUGCCCCGCCUGGGGAGUACGGUCGCCAGGCUGAA
RNAcentral lists this ribosomal RNA (900 nucleotides) under uncultured bacterium. RNAcentral's name for it is "bacterial SSU rRNA". It matches the Rfam family "Bacterial small subunit ribosomal RNA", at positions 21 to 898 of the family's 1533-position model. The record is from RNAcentral.